GUGGGGAAUAUUGCACAAUGGGGGAAACCCUGAUGCAGCGACGCCGCGUGAAGGAAGAAGUAUCUCGGUAUGUAAACUUCUAUCAGCAGGGAAGAUAGUGACGGUACCUGACUAAGAAGCCCCGGCUAACUACGUGCCAGCAGCCGCGGUAAUACGUAGGGGGCAAGCGUUAUCCGGAUUUACUGGGUGUAAAGGGAGCGUAGACGGACUGGCAAGUCUGAUGUGAAAGGCGGGGGCUCAACCCCUGGACUGCAUUGGAAACUGUUAGUCUUGAGUGCCGGAGAGGUAAGCGGAAUUCCUAGUGUAGCGGUGAAAUGCGUAGAUAUUAGGAGGAACACCAGUGGCGAAGGCGGCUUACUGGACGGUAACUGACGUUGAGGCUCGAAAGCGUGGGGAGCAAACAGGAUUAGAUACCCGUGUAGUCC
Molecule: ribosomal RNA, 425 nt
Filed under: uncultured bacterium
Lineage: Bacteria
Description: bacterial SSU rRNA
Rfam family: Bacterial small subunit ribosomal RNA
Source: RNAcentral